GACGGUGAGGAAUCCGAGAUCCCCAUUAGGAUAUGUAUAUGUGACUGCUUUUUGUCUAAAUCUUGCGUGAACUGAACAUAGUUGUGUGCAUACUGAACUUUGACUGAAAUAAUUGCUUGAGAGAAUUAGCUAUCAUCAAAUUGUCUACUUUGUUAAAUUUAAUGUGUUUGUUCAAAGUCUGCCUAUUGUAGGUUGACAUGAUGGAUGAGUAGUCUGCUGAUGAUAUCAUCUACUCUCAUUUGAUGUUCUACAAGCAGUCUUGCCCGGGAAGAAAAUGCACAUCAUGGGGAACUUGAGAGUGGAGAAGAAAAACCCAAUCCAGGCAGGUGCGUUGGCUGAGGACUUGGUUGGCACCGACGUCGUCGGCUGCGGAAGGCAGUGAUGGCCAACACUCGCUGGACGGCGAUGGCGCAACAGUGGCUUGGCGGCGCCGACGUCUCACUGCAAUGUGCGUUUGAACUUCGACAUCGAAGAAAGACAUCGAGAUUAACUGGGAUGGAACUGGCCACAUACUGCGCACAAGAGGAUAGUCUGCAUCUGCGUUGGCUAGAAGCUCGUCGGCGCGGGCGUCGUCCGCUGCGCAUGGCGGCGAUGGCGCAGGACAGGCUGGGCGGCUGCGACGUACGUCCGGGCGGGCAAAGGCAGGAAGAUCGAGUUGAUUCCCGUAAGUUUAGCCGUUUGUUGUGAGGCAGACGUAUCAAUUGCCGUAAUUGUGGCUGUUUUUCUGUAAUUGAUUGGCUUGAAUUUUUUUUUCGGGGAGGUAGAACUGUUCGAUCGAUGGCAGAGUUUUGUCCGCUAUUCUAAAUUGCUAAACGCACACAGGUGGGGCCUGACUUUAAUCUGGACGGUUAGAUGCCUAAUCUUGGGGUGGUAGUUUGUCU
This is a non-coding RNA of Triticum urartu, 881 nucleotides long. Lineage: Eukaryota; Viridiplantae; Streptophyta; Magnoliopsida; Poales; Poaceae. The record is from RefSeq and is a predicted model, not a curated record.